Molecule: ribosomal RNA, 1067 nt
Filed under: Pseudocladosporium hachijoense
Lineage: Eukaryota; Fungi; Ascomycota
Description: SSU rRNA
Rfam family: Eukaryotic small subunit ribosomal RNA
Source: RNAcentral
GUCUAAGUAUAAGCAACUAUACUGUGAAACUGCGAAUGGCUCAUUAAAUCAGUUAUCGUUUAUUUGAUAGUACCUUACUACUUGGAUAACCGUGGUAAUUCUAGAGCUAAUACAUGCGAAAAACCCCGACUUCGGAAGGGGUGUAUUUAUUAGAUAAAAAACCAAUGCCCUUCGGGGCUCUCUGGUGAUUCAUAAUAACUAAACGAAUCGCAUGGCCUUGCGCCGGCGAUGGUUCAUUCAAAUUUCUGCCCUAUCAACUUUCGAUUGUAGAGUAGUGGUCUACAAUGGUUUCAACGGGUAACGGGGAAUUAGGGUUCGACUCCGGAGAGGGAGCCUGAGAAACGGCUACCACAUCCAAGGAAGGCAGCAGGCGCGCAAAUUACCCAAUCCCGACACGGGGAGGUAGUGACAAUAAAUACUGAUACAGGGCUCUUUUGGGUCUUGUAAUUGGAAUGAGUACAAUUUAAAUCCCUUAACGAGGAACAACUGGAGGGCAAGUCUGGUGCCAGCAGCCGCGGUAAUUCCAGCUCCAGAAGCGUAUAUUAAAGUUGUUGCAGUUAAAAAGCUCGUAGUUGAAUUUUGGGCCUGGCUGGCCGGUCCGCCUCACCGCGUGCACUGGUCCGGCCGGGCCUUUCCUCCUGGGGAUCCGCAUGCCCUUUACUGGGUGUGUUGGGGAACCAGGACUUUUACUUUGAAAAAAUUAGAGUGUUCAAAGCAGGCCUUUGCUCGAAUACAUUAGCAUGGAAUAAUAGAAUAGGACGGCUUUCCUAUUUUGUUGGUUUCUAGGGAAGCCGUAAUGAUUAAUAGGGAUAGUCGGGGGCAUCAGUAUUCAAUUGUCAGAGGUGAAAUUCUUGGAUUUAUUGAAGACUAACUACUGCGAAAGCAUUUGCCAAGGAUGUUUUCAUUAAUCAGUGAACGAAAGUUAGGGGAUCGAAGACGAUCAGAUACCGUCGUAGUCUUAACCAUAAACUAUGCCGACUAGGGAUCGGGCGAUGUUACUAUCUUGACUCGCUCGGCACCUUACGAGAAAUCAAAGUUUUUGGGUUCUGGGGGGAGUAUGUCGCAAG